This 554-nucleotide long non-coding RNA is filed under the name Linum usitatissimum (flax). RNAcentral describes it as "long non-coding RNA (LUSI_LNC004570)". Lineage: Eukaryota; Viridiplantae; Streptophyta; Magnoliopsida; Malpighiales; Linaceae. The record is from RNAcentral.
CCCCGCCGUCCAUCACGGGAUGAAACACUCCCUUCAGGGAGAAGGCGGCGCACGUGGACGCCACCACUUGAGCAGCAAUGUAGACGGGGACGUGCCUCCAGGGGAAGUGUCUGACAGAAGCGAAUGCAAUGGUAACGGCAGGGUUGAGGUGGGCCCCCGAGAUGUGCCCCGUCGACAGAAUCACCACCAUAACCGCAAGUCCGGUUGACGCCGCCAGUCCUAUCAAAGAAUCCGACCCCCCUGUUUUCUGGUUGUCACCCCGCCGUCCAUCACGGGAUGAAACACUCCCUUCAGGGAGAAGGCGGCGCACGUGGACGCCACCACUUGAGCAGCAAUGUAGACGGGGACGUGCCUCCAGGGGAAGUGUCUGACAGAAGCGAAUGCAAUGGUAACGGCAGGGUUGAGGUGGGCCCCCGAGAUGUGCCCCGUCGACAGAAUCACCACCAUAACCGCAAGUCCGGUUGACGCCGCCAGUCCUAUCAAAGACUCCGACCCCCCUGUUUUCUGGUUCACGAUUGCCGUUGCUGUUCCGGCGAAUAUCAGGAUCAGAGUGC